GCGGGAGUGGUGUAACGGCAGCCACGCCAGGUUUAGGUCCUGGUGCCUUCGGGCGUAGGGGUUCGACUCCCCUCUCCCGCAC
This 82-nucleotide transfer RNA is filed under the name Modestobacter marinus. RNAcentral describes it as "tRNA-Leu". It matches the Rfam family "tRNA". From Rfam's summary of the family: Transfer RNA (tRNA) molecules are approximately 80 nucleotides in length. Their secondary structure includes four short double-helical elements and three loops (D, anti-codon, and T loops). RNAcentral also lists the same sequence under 3 other names. Lineage: Bacteria; Bacillati; Actinomycetota; Actinomycetes; Geodermatophilales; Geodermatophilaceae. The record is from RNAcentral.